GAAAAUGAUGAGAUAUAUUUGGAAUCUCGUUCGUCUGAAUUGCUGUUGAGAAUUUAAUAUCUGACAUCA
This 69-nucleotide small nucleolar RNA is filed under the name Sander lucioperca (pikeperch). RNAcentral describes it as "Small nucleolar RNA SNORD30 (ENSSLUG00000017951.1)". It matches the Rfam family "Small nucleolar RNA SNORD30". Rfam says of the family: U30 is a member of the C/D class of snoRNA which contain the C (UGAUGA) and D (CUGA) box motifs. U30 is encoded within the U22 snoRNA host gene (UHG) in mammals and is thought to act as a 2'-O-ribose methylation guide for ribosomal RNA. The record is from Rfam by way of RNAcentral. Lineage: Eukaryota; Metazoa; Chordata; Actinopteri; Perciformes; Percidae.